GACGGAGGGCGCAAGCGUUGUUCGGAAUUACUGGGCGUAAAGCGCGAGCAGGCGGUUCGUUAAGUCCCCUGUGAAAUCCCGGGGCUCAACUCCGGAGUUGCAGGGGAUACUGGCGGACUGGAGACCGGUAGAGGCAAGCGGAAUUCCUGGUGUAGCGGUGGAAUGCGUAGAUAUCAGGAAGAACACCUGUGGCGAAGGCGGCUUGCUGGGCCGGUUCUGACGCUGAACCGCGAAAGCGUGGGGAGCGAACAGG
Molecule: ribosomal RNA, 253 nt
Filed under: uncultured bacterium
Lineage: Bacteria
Description: partial 16S ribosomal RNA
Rfam family: Bacterial small subunit ribosomal RNA
Source: RNAcentral